UGUAUACAAUGAAUACAGGUUGGGACUUAGCACACAUCCCUGUGGUGUGCCAGUGCUGAUUUUUAAGGAAUUAGAUGUUACAUGUCCAAUCCUCGCUGUUUGUGUCCGAUCUAUCAGAAAGUCCUUAAUCCAGUCACAGAUGGCAGAAGAAAGGAGUGCAGGAAUCUCAGCUAAAGCAUCCAUGACAGAGGGCCAUCCAGUCUCUGCUGAUAAACCUCCAAGGACUUAUAUAGGCGCUGGAAAAUCUAGCAACCAUUUCAGACCAGCGAGGUAAGCAAAGGGUGCCAAUCGUACCCAGCUCUGUGAUUCACUGUAACUUCUCUCGCUAAAUAGGUUGGGGAAGUUGUAGCCCUCCAUAUUUCAUUGGACUACAACGCCCAUCAACCCCAGUAAACAUGGCCAAAGGUCAGGGGUGAUUGCAGUUGUGGCAGUGGCAGCAACAGCAGCCCGUAGGGUGGUUCAGGAAGGGCUGAAGCAUGGGGAAUAAAGCACAGUGUAGGCUUAGUGGUACGGCCAAGUCAACACUCCUGCCACUAUGUCUGGCUUCUUGGAAAAUGCCAGCUACAUCAUACUGUUGAGAAAACAGGUACACAACCCUGCCCUGGCUACAACGCCACCUCAAUCACUGCCGAGUUGUAGUCCAACAAUACCUGGACGGCCACAGGAUCCACAUCCAUGCUCUAAAAGACAACAACUUUCCUGACGUGUCCAUUCUGCCAUAUAUUUUCCACACUUUUAAUCAAUGCAAUUAAUUAUAUUUAAUUUUAACACAAACCUGGUGUUCUCCCAAGGGCUCAGAGCAGGAGUGUGUUAAUUACAAAGGCCCUAACAGCAUCAGUUAAAACCCAUCUUGCCUUAUUUCACCCUCUGACGAUUUGAAUUAAAAGAAUUCCAUACCCACCUAAAUCGGGACGCUCCAUUUUUUUAGUCCCAGGCUCUAGUGUAAGCACAAGAGGACAAGGCCCAAAGAUGCUCUAGUGCUCUGGCAUGACUGAGCUGAAUCACAGCAGAAUGCUGGACCGAAAAGGAGUGCCCGGUGCUCUGGUGUGACCCUGCUGAUUUACACCAGAGUGAUCGUCUUUUGGUCCAGAGCAUGGGAUAAAAAAAUGAAACAUUCUGGGAUCCAGACAGAAGGCGGGAUUGGCUUCUGUGAUUCUUUGAUGUUCCACUUAAAAUGCGACAGUUGCUGUAUAAAGUUAGUAAUAAAUGUUGGAAACGUAAAGAAAAAGAGGGAACAUUUUAUCACAUGUGGUGGGAAUGUAAAAAGGUGAAAUGCUUCUGGGAGAUGAUAUAUAAUGAGUUGAAAAAAAUGUUGAAAUAUACAUUUAUAAAGAAACCAGAAGCAUUUUUAUUGGGCAUUGUGGGGAGUGACAUAAAUAGAAAGGAAUGUAAGCUCUUUUUAUAUGCUAUAACAGCAGCAAGAAUAUUAUUGGUCCAAAAAUGGAAGCAAGAAGAGUUACCGACGAUCGAAGAAUGGAGGAUGAAGUUAAUGGACUACACAGAAUUAGAUAAACUAACAGGAAGGAUUCGAAACCGGCGAG
Non-coding RNA from Podarcis lilfordi (Lilford's wall lizard), 1541 nucleotides. The record is from the annotation of a GenBank genome assembly. NCBI's taxonomy places the organism in Eukaryota, Metazoa, Chordata, Lepidosauria, Squamata, Lacertidae.